RNAcentral lists this ribosomal RNA (253 nucleotides) under uncultured bacterium. RNAcentral describes it as "partial 16S ribosomal RNA". It matches the Rfam family "Bacterial small subunit ribosomal RNA", at positions 524 to 776 of the family's 1533-position model. The record is from RNAcentral.
UACGGAGGAUGCAAGCGUUAUCCGGAAUCAUUGGGCGUAAAGCGUCCGUAGGUGGCUUUUCAAGUCUGCCGUCAAAGACCGGGGCUUAACCCCAGAAAGGCGGUGGAAACUGAAUAGCUAGAGUGCGGUAGGGGUAGAGGGAAUUCCCGGUGUAGCGGUGAAAUGCGUAGAGAUCGGGAAGAACACCGGUGGCGAAGGCGGCUCUCUGGUACGUGACUGACGCUGAGACGCGAAAGCGUGGGGAGCAAACAGG